Non-coding RNA from Triticum aestivum (bread wheat), 135 nucleotides. The record is from Rfam. Lineage: Eukaryota; Viridiplantae; Streptophyta; Magnoliopsida; Poales; Poaceae.
AAAGUACUCCCUCCGUCCCAAAAUUCUUGUCUUAGAUUUGUCUAGAUACGGAUGUAUCAAGUCACAUUUUAGUAUUAGAUACAUCUGUAUCUAGACAAAUCUAAGACAAGAAAUUUGGGACAGAGGGAUUAGUUG